RNAcentral lists this ribosomal RNA (253 nucleotides) under uncultured bacterium. RNAcentral describes it as "partial 16S ribosomal RNA". It matches the Rfam family "Bacterial small subunit ribosomal RNA", at positions 524 to 776 of the family's 1533-position model. The record is from RNAcentral.
UACGGAGGGUGCAAACGUUGCUCGGAAUUAUUGGGCGUAAAGCGCACGUAGGCGGCCGACUAAGUCGGGUGUGAAAGCCCAGGGCUCAACCCUGGAAGUGCAUUCGAAACUGGUCGGCUUGAAUAUGGAAGAGGGUCGCGGAAUUCCCGGUGUAGAGGUGAAAUUCGUAGAUAUCGGGAGGAACACCAGUGGCGAAGGCGGCGACCUGGGCCAAUAUUGACGCUGAGGUGCGAAAGCGUGGGGAGCAAACAGG